CUUCUUUCCUUCUUCGCCAAAGCUAGUUCGUCCACGAUCUCCUUUGUCCACCAUCUCCUUUAUCCACUACCUCCUCACAGUGUGUGUAUAUUCCAGAGAAACUCAUUGUUCAUUUGGACUUUUCUUAAGAAAAUUUCAUAUUUGGUUGAAGAAUAUAAACCCAUUGUUGAUUGUUUAAAACCCUAGUCAUCCGGCUAGCUAAUAAAUAGACCAGGGUAUGUUCUCAUGGAUGAAAGUUUACGUUUUGUGUUUGAAUAAUAUAAGAUCAGUGAAAAAUGUGGCUACUUUAGGUUUUGCGCUUUAAAGAUUUGUAUGGGAUUAUGACGUUUGUCUAUGGAUUCUCUAAUAUAUGAUAUGCUUGUAACGUGGAUUCAAGUCUUGCAAACAAGAAGACAGUGACCAUCCAGCCAACUAACAAGGUACAAGGUGUCGUCUUCACCACCACCAGAUUUGUGUAUCUCUACUACUUUAGAUGUUUGUUUCUUAGACUAUUUCAAGAACAUGUUAUUAUUGUCUUGUUCAGACUUGAAGAAGUGUAUUUAUAGUUAUUUUUGUGCUUGAAUUUCAUCUAAUUGCAAAAAGAUAUUUGUUUAUUGAUUUACAGACUCAUUUUCUAGAAAAAGUUAGCUAUGGCCUUAACAUGAUUACUUUAGCUGUAAUAUUUUUGUUAAUAUUUUGAAAUGAAGUCUAAAUGUUUUUUUUUCACAUGAUAAUGGAGGUUGAAUCUAGUAUAAUGCACGAGAUGAAUCCAACCGUUGGCAUUCAGUAUAGUGUUUGGAAAAAAAUCAAGCAUUCCCCAGAAAUUAUAUGCAGUCGCAUCUAAUUAUCUGUACCAUAAAUCUGAGUGUUUUGAUGUUGGUGAAAACAUGGUGAGAUGAUUUCCUUAAAUUUUUUUAAUACCAUUAUGCACUUUUUAUUUGGUUUAUAUGUUUUGUUUUUAUAGAGUACUGCUUAUGAGUUGAGUUAUGAUGAUGCAACUAAUCCGGCUAUAAAACAGAUAUGUUAUUUAGAUGAUCAGGUAGCAAUUUAUUUUAUGAUGUCAAUUAAUUUAUAUUCUAAGUCUGAAAUUCUCCAUAUUGUGUUUGCAUCAAGUCAAUGAAUCUUUUUUUGCUGUCAGCUGGACAACUAAAGAAGAUAAGCAUUACAUACUUUCUGGAGGAUUAAUGAGCAUAAUCCAAGUCAUUCAUAAACAAAUAGUGUUUUUUUAUUCUCAUGUUUAAUAUUGAUUUACAGACUUUGUCUGUUCAUAAAGAUGAUAUCAGUGACACACAAUGUAGUCCAUAAAAUGAUGCACUUGUGUUAAGUUCAAGCAAGGUGAUACAAUAUUUCAUGUUUAUUUUACAAUAUUUUUUGUUAUUUAAUCUUUAGCUAUAAUGGAAACCUUUCAGGAUAAAUCAGUUCGAUUGUGAGGUAUUAAAACCUUGUGUAUGCUUUGUAAAAUGAUGCCAGAACUCACAUGCACUUCUUUCAGCGUCUUUUUAUCUUUCAAAUAGAUAUCUGGUGUUCAGUUCUUGUGCAGACAAAUGUGUGAGACUGAUGUAUCUACAAGGAGCUUAUGUUGCUAAUCGGUGGACUAACAAAAUUACAAGACCGUAAAUGGAGAACAGUAUGGUAAACCAAUAAAACUUAAAAGAGUAUCGUUUCAUAGCAUUGACUGUGUCCGCUGUUUGGAUAAGCAAGUGUUUGCUUUUCCCUAUUAAAGAUAGUGGAUUUCGAAGUUUGGAUUGCAGUGGGUAAGAAAAAAAGUUUACAAUAUAUAUGUUGUAUUUUAUUAUUUUAAAUCAUUUACUAUUACAUUAGGAAACCAAAAAGGAGAUAUUUUUGUCUUUGAUGUGAAUUCUGAUAAUCCGGUUCAACUAGUUGCCAUGUGAGUACAUCUAAGAAACCUUACUUUUUCUGCUUAAUUUACUUCUUUUUUAGAUCUAACGCAAUUUGUUUUUUGUAAAUAGUUCAUCAGAUCAUGAUUCAGAUAACCUGAUCUGACAUACUGCCAUUAGUGCCACUGGAAGGUAUCAAUAGGGGUGGGCAUAUCGAUUUAGUUUCGGAUUCGGUUUGGGUCCGGUUUGGUUAAUUUGGAUUUUAUAAAACUCAAUCCAAUUAAAACUAAAGUAGCUCUGGUUUGAAUUCGGUUUGGGUUUAUUUUUGGUUCGGUUUGAUUCGGUUUGGUUUAGAUUUAAUUUGAUUUGGCUUUGAUUUAGUUCGGUUUACUUUAUUAUGGUUUAGUUUGGUUCGGUAUAGUUUGGAUAUGCGAACUAUAAAAGAUCAAAUGAGAAUAUAAACUUUGUUAGCUAAAAAUAUAUUACUAAAAGUAAACAAAAAAUGUAUCUAAAAACUAAAAAUAUCAAAUGUUAACUUUGUUACAUAAUUUUACCUUUAGACAAUAGAUAAUG
This is a long non-coding RNA of Raphanus sativus (radish), 2390 nucleotides long. RefSeq lists it as uncharacterized. The record is from RefSeq and is a predicted model, not a curated record. NCBI's taxonomy places the organism in Eukaryota, Viridiplantae, Streptophyta, Magnoliopsida, Brassicales, Brassicaceae. The transcript is spliced from 3 exons.